RNAcentral lists this ribosomal RNA (245 nucleotides) under uncultured bacterium. Its description in RNAcentral is "partial 16S ribosomal RNA". It matches the Rfam family "Bacterial small subunit ribosomal RNA", at positions 524 to 768 of the family's 1533-position model. The record is from RNAcentral.
GACAGAGGGGGCAAGCGUUGUCCGGAAUUACUGGGCGUACAGCGCACGCAGGUGGCGUGGCAAGUGUGGUGUGAAAGCCCCGCGCUUAACGCGGGGAGGCCAGCACAGACUGCCAAGCUGGAGGGAUGCAGAGGGUGGUGGAAUUGCCGGUGUAGUGGUGAAAUGCGUAGAGAUCGGCAGGAACACCAAGGACGAAGGUAGCCACCUGGGCAUCACCUGACACUCAUGUGCGACAGCGUGGGGAG